GCGGCACCGCCGAGCUCCGAGCUGUGAGGACCGCCCCGGGCCUUGGGCGGGGCGGGGGCCAGGGAGGGGCGUGCGCAGGAUUGGGGAGCACGUUUUGCGUCUUGCUGUGCGUGAGGAAGCGGGGCUCCAGGUCAAGGCUAUGGAAAGUUCCAGAAGCAAAAACAAAAAAAGUUCGGGUACAGCGGCUCACACCUGUAAUCCCAGCUCUUAGGGAGAUGGAAACUGGAGGAUCACUUGAGGCCAGGAGUUCAAGACCAGCCUGGGCAACAUAGCAAGACCCAGUCUCUUAAAAGAAAAUUAAAAAGAAAGAGUAAAUAAAGUUCCAGAAGCUUUGCUCUCCUUAUCCAAGCAGCGUUUGUACUUUGGCACUGGAAAGUGUGGGAGUCAGGUGUUUGUGAGAGCACGUGUUGGUUGUCG
Molecule: long non-coding RNA, 417 nt
Filed under: Pan troglodytes (chimpanzee)
Lineage: Eukaryota; Metazoa; Chordata; Mammalia; Primates; Hominidae
Description: long non-coding RNA NONPTRT013885
Source: RNAcentral